Molecule: ribosomal RNA, 497 nt
Filed under: uncultured bacterium
Lineage: Bacteria
Description: partial 16S ribosomal RNA
Rfam family: Bacterial small subunit ribosomal RNA
Source: RNAcentral
GAUGAACGCUGGCGGCGUGCCUAAUACAUGCAAGUCGAGCGAACAGACGAGGAGCUUGCUCCUCUGACGUUAGCGGCGGACGGGUGAGUAACACGUGGAUAACCUACCUAUAAGACUGGGAUAACUUCGGGAAACCGGAGCUAAUACCGGAUAAUAUAUUGAACCGCAUGGUUCAAUAGUGAAAGACGGUUUUGCUGUCACUUAUAGAUGGAUCCGCGCCGCAUUAGCUAGUUGGUAAGGUAACGGCUUACCAAGGCGACGAUGCGUAGCCGACCUGAGAGGGUGAUCGGCCACACUGGAACUGAGACACGGUCCAGACUCCUACGGGAGCCAGCAGUAGGGAAUCUUCCGCAAUGGGCGAAAGCCUGACGCAGCAACGCCGCGUGAGUGAUGAAGGUCUUCGGAUCGUAAAACUCUGUUAUUAGGGAAGAACAAAUGUGUAAGUAACUAUGCACGUCUUGACGGUACCUAAUCAGAAAGCCACGGCUAACUACGUG